GUGGCCUCUUAAGGGUUUUGACCCUGAUUACAACCGAAUGAAAGCUAAUGUAUCAUGGUUUAAUUUGGUUCCAGUAAAACAUAUAAUAUAUACAACAAUACAACAAUAACAACCAAAUUAGUUGGGGUUAGCUAUGUUAAUCUUUUUUCUCCAUUCAGCUCUGUUUGAGAUAAAUUUUGCGUCAAUAUUUAAAAAUUGUAAAUUUUGUCAUUAUCGCCCUCCACAUGGAGGCCAAUGGUAUGU
RNAcentral lists this unclassified non-coding RNA (243 nucleotides) under Hevea brasiliensis (rubber tree). Lineage: Eukaryota; Viridiplantae; Streptophyta; Magnoliopsida; Malpighiales; Euphorbiaceae. The record is from RNAcentral.